RNAcentral lists this non-coding RNA (30 nucleotides) under Schmidingerella taraikaensis. The record is from RNAcentral. Lineage: Eukaryota; Ciliophora; Spirotrichea; Tintinnida; Rhabdonellidae.
AGGGGCGGAAGGUAGCAGCGGCGAUUUGGA